RNAcentral lists this long non-coding RNA (3145 nucleotides) under Homo sapiens (human). Its description in RNAcentral is "synapsin-1 (LOC105376146)". Lineage: Eukaryota; Metazoa; Chordata; Mammalia; Primates; Hominidae. The record is from RNAcentral.
ACCAGCUCGCGUCCCUCCCCGGCCAGGGCCACCGCCGUCCGAGCGCCCGCGAGGGCUGGCGCCCCAUUCCCGGCGCAACGAGUGUUGCGCAACGGCCCACGCGGCCGACACGACCGGAGCGAGCCUGCGGAGGAGCCCGGGAGCCCCCCGUCCCACCGCCCCGUCCGCUCUUGGCUCCCUUCACCCUCCCGGUCGCCGCGGUGGCUCUGCGCUCCCCGCGACCCUCACUUGCUCGCAGAGGCGCUUUUUGUCUUCCUGAGAGCCGCAGCCUGCUGGGCUACCUGUUGCCGACUGAGCACUGCGGGUUGCGGCUACCCGGGCGUGGCCCGGACCUCGGCCUCCCCUUCCCCGCACACUCCCGAGAGGAGCCCUCUACCUUGGGGUGGGCAGGAGGGAAGGCGGGGGGUGGCGGCUGGCAAGCUGCCAACACUCGGGGCGCGCUGCGGCGGGGAAGGGGUUGGCGCGGCCGGGCAGCUGCGCAGGGCUGCGCGGCGGAGGCAGCGAUUAAAAUGUCCCGGCGCCUCUCCCGAGAGCCGCGACGGCCCGGAGCCGGGAGGGAAAGCUCCACGCACAAACACCGCCCCCUGCACAAUUAGGGCGAAGAUGACGGCUGCAAAGUUGUUGCGUAACACGACUGGGAAACGAGGCUCGCUGAGGUCCAUCUACCCACCCCCGCCACGCGGGUGCGGCGUUCCUCGGAGGAUGUGAAGGUCCGCGCUCGGGUGCCCCCGCUGGGACGCCCACUGUCGUUUGGUGCUGGGGCUUGAGACGACCGCGCGGGAUCUCUUCCUGUGAUUUUGAGCUGAUAGCUGCUUAGUGUUAUUUCUGCGUCUAACUGGAUACGGUAGUCUUCUCUCCCAAAUUCCCGGGCUACGGAAGAGACGUAAAAAAAUGGAAAAAAGAGCACCUAGCCGCGACUUCUUAAGUCGUCGCGCUAGACUGUCAAGGCACGUGGCACACUCCCUGCGUUUACCGAUACACGGAUAGUGGUCAGUGCUGGCCUUGGCGAAGGGAGCCAUGUUCCCGACAGUGACUCACAGGCUUGCCCAAAUACGGAGUGUGGCAGGUGGGCAGGACCUCCACCAGCCAGCUCCCUCCUGGUCUCCUUGAACUACGUGGGGGCUGGGCCGAGUGCCUCCACGACUUUCCACUUCUUUUUGCUCCUUUCGUUUUUAAAAAGCAAAAACCAAAGUAAAGAGAAGAGCAGAGUGAACACCCAGGUACCAUCCCUAGUGUCUGCCAUGAGCAGCAGAUCUAUCUACUCGCCAAGAUUGUCUUUUCUACCUUUCCCCUUCUUGCACAGUUAAUAUCAUAAUAACGCAAGUCAUAUUUAAAAAAUUUUUAUCACCUAUCAGUUGAGUUUUUGGAAAGCCUUCCAGGGCAGCGUUGUGGUUUUGAACGCACUCUUGUUCGUGAUUUAUCUGGUAGUACAGCUCUGCUGACAAGGCUCUGAAAACUCAGACGUACAAUAUGGGCUUAGCGUGUUCCCCGACACCAUCUUCCCGGUGCUGACUAAUGCAAGAACCACAUCCCCUCCACUACACAUUUUCCAAACUUGACUACCUUCAUGAGAACAAAUCCUGAUUUUAGUUUAUAAUUUCCACUUUUCUCAUACAUAUAUAAUAAUUCAAGAUGUGGUCUUACUAUGUUGUCCAGGUUGGCCUGGAACUCCUGGGCUCAAAGGAUCCUCCGGCCACAGCCUCCCUGGUAGUGGAAUUACAGGCGCAUGCCACUGUGCCUGGCCACUUUUCUCAAAUUUACUGAUAGUUUCCUUUUUGCCCAAACCUUACAAUGCUUAUUUGUAGCUUUGAGAACCUCUCUUAGAUGAAAUCAAAAUCAUAUCCAUAUUAGUUGCCUUUUUGGGGUCAGAAAUGCAGCUAUUGUCUAGAAAUCCAGGGCUGUCCUGCAUAAUCUACCCUCCCCUUCACGUGUUCUGACCUUGUUCUGCAUUUUGAAUAAUUUCAUGGAAUUUCAAAGCCGUUGUAGUAAAUGUCUUUCUUUAAAGACAACUCGACCUUCAAGACAGGUAAAGAACGUGCCUGGAGCCACCCCAGGCAGUGAUGCUGGAGGAGUUCUCUCAACCUGGAAACUUAUUCUUUAUGCUGAAUUUUGAAAUCGAAUGCUCCUAUAUUUACUUGGAGUAUUUUAGAUUGUGUAUGUAUUAUAUCUGUGCAUCAUUCAUUGUUACCAUCUAACUUGGAAAUCAGAGGAAGUGUGAAAGGUAUCUGAGAUACCAGCUUAGAAAACAACUCUUUAGCUCCUCCUGGUGAUUAGGACACCACUAAACAACAGGAUGAAGGAUCUGUCCCCAGGGCCGAAGUGAUGAUGUAUCUAAUAUUAUAUCCUAGAACAUUCACAGAGUAGCUGCAGAAUGUCUUGAGCUGGAACAUCCCCAAGAGGCCAUAUAUAUAUCCCAGGGAUUUUACAGUGGACCUCACUAGGCCGGAGUAACUGUAAAGUCAGAUGGAUAAUGAGAAUUCAGGACGUUAGCCACACGUGGACUGUGGCAAAAAGAAAGUGACCCACUGAAGAAGACUGUUUUUCAGCUCUCUCAUCAAUUGCUGUUUCCAGGAGCCCACAGCUCCAAUUACUCAAAAGAACGUUGACUUUUUUUUUUUUGGUAAAAUAUCCUGAUUUUCAGGUUAGGCAAGCAAUUCAUUAAAAAAUAAAAGACUGCACAGCCCACAGCUCCAAUUAUUCAAAAGAAAGUUGACUUUCUUUUUUUUGGUAAAAUAUCCUGAUUUUCAGUUUAGGCAAGCAAUUCAUUAAAAAAUAAAAGACUGCAGGACUUACCUACCCAGAGGCUGGACAGUCUGAGUCCUCUGAGUUCUACAGAGAUGUCCUGGGAACAGGGGGUGGAGACGGGGGACUCAGUGGCUAAAAAGCAGGCUGCCUACCUGGCAACCAAAUUGGGCAGCUCUACCCUAUCUGUUUUGUGCAUUGGACUUAUGGAUUUCUUUGUAGAAAAAACUUCGAUAACUAAAAGCCCUUUGGUGACCUCCUGUCUGGUCUGGUGGCCGGCAGCCUGCAUCAGGGCUCCUGUGUGCCAGGACCAUUUUCUUUCCACUGUAGUAUGUUUAUGGACCACCUUGUGUCUUUUUAUUAAACUCCAGGAACAGAAGUUCAGUUUCUGGGAAUCCAUAGC